UGUGUUAGAAAUCAUUAUUUAUAUAUAAUCCAUUUUAGUAAAAAUAUUUAUAACAAUUUGGUAAAAUUAGUAAUAUUAUUUUAAUACUAUAUAAAAUCAAUAUUUAUUUUACUCAUUUAUUUGUCAUAUAUUUCUUUAAAUAUAACAAUAUGGGGCAUGAGAUUAUUAUUUUAGAAAUCUUAAUAUUAUUUUUGCCUUAUUAUUUAAAUAAUCACUAAAUUCCCUAUAAUUGACAAAUCCUCAAACUUAAUAGGGUAAUUCUCUUGUGCACGAUCUUCUUGGGAAAUUCCUGAUUCUUAAUUUUAUUCCAAGAAAUACGCAACGCAACCUAAGGUGAGUAUACUUGAUCCCAUUUUGAUUUUAUCACUUUUGGGUGCAACAUGUAUUCUAUACAAAACACGCAACACUUGAAACUUGUUAUAUGCACACUCUAUCCGUUUUUAAACAUGAAACAAUUUUGAUGCUUGUUAAUCUCGUAUGCCAUGUAAACUUUUCGUGUUUAUAUGCUCAUUAACCUUGAGUACGCACCGCCCUUGAGUGAGUCUUGGGGCGUGUGCGUUGAAACUUCUGAGACUACUAAGACUACUGAGACUUAUUAAACUUCUGAGACUUAUUAAAUCUCCUAUUCUAUAGGAGUACGCAUCGCCCUUGAGUGAGUCUUGGGGCGUGUGUGUUGAAACUUCUGAAACUACUGAGACUUAUUAAACUUCAGAGACUUAUUAAAUCUCCUAUUAUGUAGGAGUAUGCGCCGCCCUUGAGUGAGUCUUGGGGCGUGUGCGUUGGAAACUUGGGUUUGACAUAUAGUGACACUGUUUCAGCAUAUUAGUAACUUGUAUUAUGUUGUUCAUGUUGGAUAUGAGUAUUUAAACUUUUUACUCUACUUUAUGCUAUGUAUCAAACCUGUAUACUCGCCAACUUUUGUUGAUGUUACUUUAAUACAUGUUGCAGGUUGAUAGAUGAAGAUUCAAGAAUCAAGUUAGGUUGGAUUAGAAACACACCUAGAAAUAACUAUGUUGGAAUCCUGUUUGUUUAUUUGAACAAUGUAUGACAUUUUAGAAUUUAUGAAAUUGAAUUUAAAUUAUAUUGUCACAAUUAGUGUUAUGUUGUUUUGAGCAAUUUGUUCGUCUCAUCCCGAUGUUUCCGCCAUCGGUUGGGGUGUGACAUAUAUAUAAUCGAAUUUUUAACUAGACUUGUUAUGCCGUUUCAUAAUUUUCUUAUGUUGGUUCUUUGUUAUCAGGACGCUAUCGGUUGUAAACUUGUAAAAAUAUAACCUUUUUAGAACUUGUUAUUCCCAACUGAA
This 1300-nucleotide long non-coding RNA is filed under the name Helianthus annuus (common sunflower). Its description in RNAcentral is "hypothetical non coding rna". The record is from RNAcentral. Lineage: Eukaryota; Viridiplantae; Streptophyta; Magnoliopsida; Asterales; Asteraceae.